Molecule: unclassified non-coding RNA, 244 nt
Filed under: Hypomyces sp.
Lineage: Eukaryota; Fungi; Ascomycota; Sordariomycetes; Hypocreales; Hypocreaceae
Also listed under: 1 other name
Description: partial contains 5.8S ribosomal RNA, internal transcribed spacer 2, and large subunit ribosomal RNA
Rfam family: 5.8S ribosomal RNA (bases 1-52)
Source: RNAcentral
AACGCACAUUGCGCCCCUCGGUAUUCCGGGGGGCAUGCCUGUUCGAGCGUCAUUACACCCCUCAAGCUCUGCUUGGUAUUGGGCCCUCGCCCCCUGGGCGUGCCCGAAAAACAGUGGCGGUCCGGCGUGACUUCAAGCGUAGUAAAUUUUCUCCCGCUCUGGAGGCUCGCGCCGCGGUCGGCCAUCAUCCCCCAUCUUUCAAAGAAUUGACCUCGGAUCAGGUAGGGAUACCCGCUGAACUUAA